Molecule: non-coding RNA, 494 nt
Organism: Oncorhynchus mykiss (rainbow trout)
Lineage: Eukaryota; Metazoa; Chordata; Actinopteri; Salmoniformes; Salmonidae
Source: RefSeq, a predicted model, not a curated record
AGCUAAGGACAGGACAAAACAAACACUGGCCUUCAGUACAGCGAGGGGCGAGUCACUGUUGACACACAGCCAGGCUGCCUUCUUUAGUAGUCAAGCCACUGAAAGCAACAUAACUUCGCUAACGUUAGAUGGCUUUGAUGGUGGUAGGCAGUUAUAUUGAAGGCCAGUGAUUGUGGGGGAACUGCCAGAGCUGAACCAGUGACUCUGUGGUUAUGGAGCGUGGCCACCCCCUGUGCCAUGACCUCUUGGCAGUUGAAGCCUGCAGCAGUAGGCCUACACUAAGAAAGAAGGGCCACGUGAUCAUGUACAUCUGACCCCAGGACCAACCUGCUAUGACCAAUGAGGACUUAAACAGUAAUGUUAUACCCCUGUAGAAAUACUGACUCAUUUUCAUAUCAUCUUUAUCAUAUGUGGCCUUUCUAGGGAGUUUUUCCUAGCCACCGUGCUUCUACACCUGCAUUGCUUGCUGUUUGGGGUUUUAGGCUGGGUUUCUG